This 262-nucleotide ribosomal RNA is filed under the name uncultured bacterium. Its description in RNAcentral is "partial 16S ribosomal RNA". It matches the Rfam family "Bacterial small subunit ribosomal RNA", at positions 510 to 771 of the family's 1533-position model. The record is from RNAcentral.
AGCAGCCGCGGUAAUACAGAGGGUGCAAGCGUUGUUCGGAAUUAUUGGGCGUAAAGAGCGCGUACGCGGUUUGCUAAGUCUGAUGUGAAAGCCCUGGGCUCAACCUGGGAAUUGCACUGGAUACUGGCGGGCUGGAGUACGGUAGAGGGUGGCGGAAUUCCUGGUGUAGCAGUGAAAUGCGUAGAUAUCAGGAGGAACAUCCGUGGCGAAGGCGGCCACCUGGACCAGUACUGACACUGAGGCACGAAAGCGUGGGGAGCAA